UUAUGGAGCAUCGGUAUUCGGAGUGUUUCCUGCUUCUCUGGUAUUACAACGCUUGACCGUCCACCUCGGAAUCUCAAUACUCCGAAACAAUCCCUCCGAGAGAGAAAAAAAAAACAAAAAAUACGUGUGGCGUUGUACGAUCGGCCGAAUAAUUUCCGAUUUAUCGAGCGGAGCGGAUGAAACGUCUCUGAAAUUUUCCGCAGACAAGGCUGAAAGCGACGUUGGUCGUGACGUGCGGCCGCGUCGAAAGAAAUUGACAAAGUUAAGGGGGAUGAAAGCAGCGAAAUAAGCAAGUCGUCUGACGGGCAAAGGUUCGGGGGGUUUUCGGUCGGAUAAUAUUCCAUCGGAUAUAAAUAUCAAAAAGCUGGCCAAGAUCCAAGGGAAAAUAAUUCUUUGACUGUCGUUUUCGAGCAACAACGGUAGCCGGGAAAAGCAGAGGCAGUAGAGAGGCUGAUAAUCGGGUCGCUGCAGCGUAACUUGUAUGAAUAAAUGUCCGACAUGCAUGCAGUCGGCGGUUGUACGUUGGAAUAAGAGGAACGUCUAGCGCGGAAUGAAGUAUAGCGUUGCAUUUUACCUUACGGGGAAUUUGAUUCAUAGCCGGAGGAAUUUUUAAUAGCCGAAUCGGACGAAGUUUACGAAUAUCUCUAGACGUUAUAAAUUUCGCAUUACGCUUCACUUAGGGAGGUUCGAGCGAUACGUUUCGGAUGCUUUGAAGAUAAACUUUACUUGUUAAAACUACAGUAGAGUGUACCGCGGCGAUUAUGUGCACAUCACGAGUGAAAAAUUGAGAACAGAAAGGAAACGGUGGCGAUAGAAAAGGGAAGAUGGAUGGAGAAUUCGUAACGCAUCGGUUCUGGGUGUUCGGUCGAUCGAAUCUUGGCUCAACGCGUAAUACGCAUUGCAUCUUCUUUCCCCCCAAGCCUUAUGGAUGUUUUGGCUGAGGAAAUGUUUGCGCAGGAAUCGGAGGUAGAGCCACUUGAGCAUGUAUAUUCAUCGAAAAGGAAAAAGGGAACAUCGACUCGACCGGAUACGUUGAGGAGGGCCGAUUUAUUUAUUCAUUUACUUACUCGCUUGUUUAUUUAUUUUUGAAAAAUUGAAUACUUGAAUAAAAUUUUUCGAUUUAUUACUGGAAUUUUCAAUGCAAAGCUUCCGCUUUUAUACCCUUGUUAUUAUCAUGCCCGCACAGAAAUAAGAUCUAGAAACCGGUCAGACGUCCGAAAAGUUUAAGGAAGACGAACCCAGGACGUUCAAGAGCUGUUAGGAAAUUUUUCAGUGGUAAAAAAAAAAAAAAUAUGUGGGGGGUGAGGAUAAAGAUGUAAAUAUCCGGUUCUGAAUUAGUAUUUAUAUUAACACGAGUUUUUUGGGGGUUUUAAUCCGAUGAAUUUCGGUAAGUUUUCGAGAGAGGGGACGAGAGUUGGGCACGUACACGCGCGGCGAGUGAAAGCUAAUCGGUAAAGUUGUCAGGACAAAUUCGUGUAAGAAUGGGGGUUCGAAACGUCGUUACUAAACUUUUGGUCGUUUCCUCGGAGAGUCGGCGGUUGGCAUAAGGAGGAAAAAAGAGGUGACGCCCGAGACGGAGACGAGGGUAACAACGGAAAGGAAUUCCUAGCCGAGAAAAGAUAGCAUCGUUAAUUCGUAUCACCCUGACUACUACUCUACGAGAGUACAUAUAUCUUCCUCGCGUCUCUUCGAGGCCACGCACUUCUCGUCCCUUCCCUAGUCAACGAUGGCCGGAUUCGUUUGUUAGCAGAAUUUAACAACUCCUCGUUUCCGCUGUAUAUACGCUAAUAAAAUCCAACGUUUUCCCGUCCUCCAACAUAUACUCGUGCGUAUCGAGAGGGCAAUAAAAUUUCAGGACCUUAUUUUUCUUCGGCCGCGUAAUUGGGUUAUCCGUAGACUUUAAAAACGGAUGAAAGUUUGUUUUUUUCUUCUUUCCUUUCGAUAUCGCGAAAAUUUUUG
Long non-coding RNA from Athalia rosae (coleseed sawfly), 1959 nucleotides. RefSeq lists it as uncharacterized. NCBI's taxonomy places the organism in Eukaryota, Metazoa, Arthropoda, Insecta, Hymenoptera, Athaliidae. The record is from RefSeq and is a predicted model, not a curated record. The transcript has 3 exons.